Molecule: ribosomal RNA, 253 nt
Filed under: uncultured bacterium
Lineage: Bacteria
Description: partial 16S ribosomal RNA
Rfam family: Bacterial small subunit ribosomal RNA
Source: RNAcentral
UACGUAGGGUGCAAGCGUUAAUCGGAAUUACUGGGCGUAAAGCGUGCGCAGGCGGUCGUUCAAGUCGAGUGUGAAAGCCCCCGGCUCAACUGGGGAGGGUCAUUCGAUACUGAUCGACUUGAAGGCAGGAGAGGGAAGUGGAAUUCCCGGUGUAGUGGUGAAAUGCGUAGAUAUCGGGAGGAACACCAGUGGCGAAGGCGACUUCCUGGCCUGUUCUUGACGCUGAGGCGCGAAAGCUAGGGGAGCAAACGGG